GGCGAACGCUGGCGGCGUGCUUAACACAUGCAAGUCGAACGGAAAGGCCCUGCUUUUGUGGGGUGCUCGAGUGGCGAACGGGUGAGUAACACGUGAGUAACCUGCCCUUGACUUUGGGAUAACUUCAGGAAACUGGGGCUAAUACCGGAUAGGAGCUCCUGCUGCAUGGUGGGGGUUGGAAAGUUUCGGCGGUUGGGGAUGGACUCGCGGCUUAUCAGCUUGUUGGUGGGGUAGUGGCUUACCAAGGCUUUGACGGGUAGCCGGCCUGAGAGGGUGACCGGCCACAUUGGGACUGAGAUACGGCCCAGACUCCUACGGGAGGCAGCAGUGGGGAAUAUUGCACAGUGGGCGGAAGCCUGAUGCAGCAACGCCGCGUGCGGGAUGACGGCCUUCGGGUUGUAAACCGCUUUCGCCUGUGACGAAGCGUGAGUGACGGUAAUGGGUAAAGAAGCACCGGCUAACUACGUG
This 468-nucleotide ribosomal RNA is filed under the name uncultured bacterium. Its description in RNAcentral is "partial 16S ribosomal RNA". It matches the Rfam family "Bacterial small subunit ribosomal RNA", at positions 28 to 507 of the family's 1533-position model. The record is from RNAcentral.